This 4521-nucleotide long non-coding RNA is filed under the name Salvia miltiorrhiza (redroot sage). RNAcentral describes it as "long non-coding RNA (SMIL_LNC007042)". Lineage: Eukaryota; Viridiplantae; Streptophyta; Magnoliopsida; Lamiales; Lamiaceae. The record is from RNAcentral.
AGAUGACAACUUGAUUGAAAUCUAAGGCAUCAAGCAGAUCAUUCAACUUCCGAUUUUUCUCCAGCUCACUCAAUUUGAUGUAGUGCUGCCAUGAAGAGACACCAAGUAAGCAAAAUAAUAAUUUAAAAGUCCACAUACAGCACUAGGAAUAUCAAAUCCGAACCUGUACAAGACCAUGCAGAGUCAACUUGGCUUCAUCAUCCACAUAUAUUUCCAUUGGCUGAAAUGAAGAAAUGUCACAGUAAAGCAUAUUAGGAGCCAUCUGAAGCUAAGGUAUCCACUAUGAAAUGAAUGACGAUCAAAAAAGGUCCGAUUUGAGGUUCUGCGCCAUCAGACACAUCUCCUUGCAGAUACUUCACACUACUCGUGCCAACUGAAUGUCACCAAGACUGUUCAAACAACUAUUGCGGAAUUCAUGAGGUAAGAAAACACGACUUUCACUCUGAACCCCUGCUCUCUUAAAUGUCCCACUGAAAAGGGAAACUUUAAAAAAAAAAAAGGAAAGGACCCAAAAUAGACAAGUAAAACAUCAGCAACAAUGAGAGCAGUGCCUAUGGAACUCAGCCACCUCUUAUGCCAACCUAUUCAAUCUUUGAAAUGAACCACCACUUCGUGUCAGUUGGACAGAUUAACACGACAUGCUUUAAGCAUACAGUGCAUCAGCCACUGCAUUCAAGACCUACUGUCCACAGCAGAAAUCUGGGGAAAAGGGAACAUGGUAGACGUCUAAAAUUCAAGGACUGGCCACAGGACAUUACAUCUUGCAUGAAUUUCUUGCAGACCGGUCGAAUCUCCUUGCUGAGAGUAGCUGAAAACAUCAUAACUUGCUUGUCAUGAGGGGUCAUCUUGAAGAUCUCCUGCACAUCCCUCCGCAUAUCUGAUGUUGGAUUGAUCAAGUUAAGAGCAAUUUCCUUUCAGUGGAGAUGAAGAAAUAAGGUAGCUGUCAUUACAGAGGCUUACCAAGAGACUCGAGCAUCUUGUCACACUCAUCCAGUAUGAAAUGCCUCACAUUUUUCAGAGAAAGUUCCUUGUCUCUAGCAAGAGCAAGUAUCCUUCCCGGAGUUCCCACAACAAUGUGAGGACAUUCAUUCUUCAGAAGAUCCUUGUGUAUUUUGACGUUGACUCCUCCGUAGAAAACAGCUACCUUGAUAUCUGGUAAAUAUGUGCUGAAUCUUUCGAACUCGUGACAAAUCUGCAACCCAAACAAAACGUUUAUGUAAGGAAAUUGGGCUGUCAAUCAAUCCACAAAACAAGUGCUUCAGUGUAUAAAUCGAAUGUAGUCUAGAGGAAGACAACAUAAACCAAUUUUCUUUUCAAGCACGUAAUCAAUAGAGUCAAUUGCUAAAGACAUGCCUGGUAAGCUAAUUCCCUCGUAUGACACAGGACAAGCGCAGCAACUUGGCCUGCAAUUGGUUCAAUCUGCUGUAAUGUUGAGAGAACAAAUACAGCAGUUUUCCCCAUACCAGAUUUGGCUUGGCAGAUGACAUCCAUUCCCAGAAUAGCUUGAGGAAUACACUCAUGUUGAACUGACGAAGAACCAAAGAAAUUUGAUCCAAGGAAGCCUCAAUUUCAAUUAAAAAAGUUUUACCAUGCAACUUCUCCGAGGUAGAGUGAUAGUAAUGAUUUACCUGAAAAAUAUAUCAUUCAAAACAAUUGUAAGUCUCUUUUCAAUAAACACUAUUCAUUUAUAUAGUCAAUAGUAAUAGAAACAGGAAAAGGAUCAAGAACCACAUUGUUGAGCGAACAUCAGCUAAGUACUACAGAAGUACAGAUUCUACAGAAUGUCAAAACUGUUGAAAGAUUGCUCCAUAUAAAUUGACAACAUUUUUAUUGGAAGACAAAAUUAAUAGUAAUAAUUAGCAAUAAUGCAUAGCAAAAGUUGAAACAUCAUGCCCCUUUGACCAGGCUAGGCAGGCAGGUUUAGGAAGCCUAAGAUGCAUGUAUACGAAACGAAAGGAUGAGGAAAAUGUCUUCACUUAUAAGAUUCUCAUGGUUUUGGCAUACAGACUACACAAUAUAACUCUCAUUUCCAGUCAGCACAUCUAGUAAAGAUUGAAUUAUGUGAGCGAUUAACCACAUAGUUUCCCAAACACAAAAAAAAUGUAUCUUGCCUUCUGAUGGAUGUUCAAAUCCAGAGUCCACAAUAGCACGUAAAAGCUCCGGCUUCAAGAGGAAGUCCCUGAAUCCUGAACUGUGGAUUCCCACAUAUCCCCUGUACACAAAAGGAAAAUAAUGCAUGUUAACACCUGCAUAGAUAUAAACCCAAUUGACAGAAUUUGUUUACUAGUAACCACAUCCUAGAUUCCUUUACAUAACAUUUCUCCCAUUUCGUGAUUAGCAAAAUUCAUGUGUAAAGACACCCAAAUUCGAGCAAAAUAACUAAAACGCAGCUAUUUACAAAGAACAUCAUCUCUCUUUCAUAAAUCUUACUCCAAACAAAGGGCUCAAACAACUAAACAGUUUAACAAACAAAUAAUAUACGCGAAUUUUCAGAAAAGCACCACACAAACAAGCAAAAAAUUGGUGCAGGGAACACAACAAACUCAGCAACAGACAAUUAAAUUAUGAAAAUCUCUUCAGUAUCACGGAACUCACUUCUUCACCGACUCGCCGUUGACCUUGGCACCGACAGAAUCGGGUGCUUUCUCCUCUUCUUCCUCGUAGUCGAGAAGCUCCUCCUCGUAGGCUUCGGUCUCCUUCGUCUCGCCCAUUUUUUCUGCUGCUGCUUUUGCUGCUUGAAACUACAGAUCGACGAACAAAAUUAAACCUUUCGCACUUCAUUCAGCUCAAUACAUAUACACAUAACUCGAAACACACACACACACUUGAAGAGACAGCUUCGCUAACCUGCUGAAUUCGAUUAGGAACACGCGAUUGAGAACAGUUUCGGUUGGAAUUUGCGAUUUCUGCAGAGAAAAAUGUUAGGAAAUGUACGAAAUGAGAUAUUUUGGAGGGGGAGACAGAUAGGGUUUGGCAAUGGAUUUCUGAUUUCAAUGAUAGAGCUACGUGAUUUGACUGAUUUGCCCUUGGAAGACGAGUUUGGGCUUGCUAAUUUUGUGAAGACAUUUAUAUUAUGAAUGGGCUUUUUUUAGGGUGAAAAAAUGGGCUUUUUUAACUGAUUGUUAAUUUGUUAUAAAUAAAUUUUAGCCACAAAGUUUUUAAUGAAAAUGUGUACAUUACAAACAAAAUUAUAGAGUAAAAGAAAAGGCACUUAAUUACUCUCCCCGUCUCAUUAAAGUUAGCUCAGUUCUUUUAAACAAAAAAAUUAAGAAAAUGUAUAAAUUAUAUAAAAGUUAUAGUAUUCACAACUUUUCAAAAAUUAAAUAGUCUUUUAUAAAUAAAUCAAUUUUAGUGGGACAUCUCAAAACGAAAAAUGGGUCAAUUUUAAUGGAAAGUUAGAAUUACUAUAAUUUAGAAGUUCGGAAGCACUCAACUAGUGAAUACCACUAAAACCUAAUUUUUAAAUUGCUACUCCGGCCUUCUUGAGGAAUCUAUAUAUUAUAUAAAAGACCAGUUAAACGGUCAUUUUUCCCGCCACCUACCUCUCCAAAUUUUAAAUUUUCAAAUUAAUAGGUGUCAUUUUUUCAAAAAUAACUGUCUUAAUAUCAUAAAUAUAAUUAUUUAAUUAAACCAAUUCAAUGUAUCCGAGUAAUUUAAUUAACUCCCACUAACUCCCAACUAUAACUGUCUAAAUCACACAAUUUACAAAUCUCUCUGAUCACAUCUCUCAAACUCAAGCACCCUCCCUCUGGAAACUGCCGCCGCCGCCGCCUCCUCCGGCCAACGACGCCUCUCGCCCCCUCUUAAACUUUCUCCUUCCCUCUCUUACUCUCUUCUCACAGAACACGCCCACACACGAACAACCUACGCCGCCGCCCAGACUCCGGCGACUUCGCCGACCGCCACUGCCGCGGUCACCACCACCACAGCCCACAUCUCCAUCGCCUUCCACCUCUUCACCCAAAAGCCAUAUAUCUCCCCCCGGUACUCUCUCUCGUCGCCGCUGCACAGCNUUUGAUGUAGUGCUGCCAUGAAGAGACACCAAGUAAGCAAAAUAAUAAUUUAAAAGUCCACAUACAGCACUAGGAAUAUCAAAUCCGAACCUGUACAAGACCAUGCAGAGUCAACUUGGCUUCAUCAUCCACAUAUAUUUCCAUUGGCUGAAAUGAAGAAAUGUCACAGUAAAGCAUAUUAGGAGCCAUCUGAAGCUAAGGUAUCCACUAUGAAAUGAAUGACGAUCAAAAAAGGUCCGAUUUGAGGUUCUGCGCCAUCAGACACAUCUCCUUGCAGAUACUUCACACUACUCGUGCCAACUGAAUGUCACCAAGACUGUUCAAACAACUAUUGCGGAAUUCAUGAGGUAAGAAAACACGACUUUCACUCUGAACCCCUGCUCUCUUAAAUGUCCCACUGAAAAGGGAAACUUUAAAAAAAAAAAAAAGAAGGAUCCCAAAAUGACAAGUAAAACAUCAGCAACAAUGAGAGCAGUGCCUAUGGAACUCAGCCACCUCUUAUGCCAAC